This is a long non-coding RNA of Globicephala melas (long-finned pilot whale), 2810 nucleotides long. RefSeq lists it as uncharacterized. The record is from RefSeq and is a predicted model, not a curated record. Lineage: Eukaryota; Metazoa; Chordata; Mammalia; Artiodactyla; Delphinidae.
GUCCUCAGCUGCGUGGUGGGUGUGGGCAGGGCUGGUUCCUCGGGGCGAGGCGGGGUGCUCGUCUCCCAGCUCCAGAGGGCUGCUGGCGCCCCUCGGCCGGCCCUGAUCCAGGAUGGCCUCAUCUGGAGACCCUUCCCUUUGUGACACCGGCCCAGGCCAGGCGGUAGGCGAUAGACACCAGCAAAGAAUCCGGAAGUCCAGCAAGUCCCUCAGCAAGGUUUAUUCACGUACGGUAAACGGCGCACGUAGAAGCGUACAAUUGAAUGAGCUGAGAUGCAUAGACAGCCCGGGACCCUUCGCCACGUUCAGGACAGGGAACAUCUCCAUCAACCAAAGUCUCUGCAUUUUAUUUUUACGGUAACGAUGUAGCCAGGACCGAGCGGGGGCCUCCUUCCCACUGUGUAACUGCUGCCUCGUCGGGCUGGGCCUGCCUGUCCGUCAGUCCGUCUCAGGCCCUUACGAACCUCCUGCUAAAAAUGCCUGUGUGGGGCUUCCGUGGUGGCGCAGUGGUUAAGAAUCCACCUGCCAAUGCAGGGGGCACGGGUUCGAACCCUGGGCCAGGAAGAUCCCACAUGCUGCGGAGCAACUAAGCCCAUGUGCCACAGCUACUGAGCCCGCGUGCUACAACUACUGAAGCCCGCGCGCCUGGAGCCCAUGCUCUUCAACAGGAGAAGCCACUGCAGUGAGAAGCCCGCGCACCGCAACGAAGAGCAGGCCCUGCUCGCCGCAACUAGAGAAAAGCCCACACACAGCAACGGAGAUCCAACGCAGCCAAAAGUAAAUAAAUUUAUAAAAAAAAAAAAUAAAAAGACCUGUGUGCCCGUCCCUGUGCACAGCUGCCCGGCUGCUGUAAGAUAACUUCCUGGCAGCGCUACCCGAGCCAAGGGCUGCUUCUCGUCAGAUCUGGCAACGUUCCCACCCGGGGAAGCAGCUGCACCCGCGAUGCCCCACACCCCAGGUGAGGCCCCUCCUGCCCCCGCGUCUGCAGGGCCUCAGGAGGAGCCGCCUCCUCCGGGUGUCCCUGGUCACCGCCGCGCCUUCAUUUCCUGCCCCCCGAUAUCUGACACCAAAUGCUGGGGGGUCUCCUGAGCUCUGCUCCAGGCCAGCCGGUCCCUUUUCUCGGCAACAAGAGUGAUUUUUCAAGCUCGUGACCCCUGAACUUUGAGGUGGCGCCCACACCCUGGAGUCCAGAAGGGCCCCCUGCCUCUGCAUUGCAUCACCUGAACCCAAGGGUUCUGUGCCUGCUGGGACUCUUCAUAGGGAAGAAACCCCGAAGUGGCUGGAGCAGGGCACUGGGUCGAAGGGCAUCCCCCCGACAUUCACACCAACCCAGAGCCUCAGAAUAGGACCUUGUUUGGAGGGGGGGUCUUUAGAGAGGUCAUCCUGCCCCUCGCGCAGUGACAGAGGCAGAGGUGCGGGCCACAGCCACAAGCCAAGGAGCGUGGGAGCCCCAGAAGCUGAAAGGGGCAGGAAGGACCCCCCCCUCCGCUGGAGCCGCCGUUGGGAGAUGGCCCUGCGACACCAGCCUCCAGAGCUGACAGGGUGUGAGUUGAUGGUGUUUGCAGCCCCCUAGGCUGUGGUCCUGUUAGGGCAGGCCCAGGAGACCGUGGAAGCAGAGUUCAGAAAAUUACCCCACUCGCAGAAACGAGGCGAAUGGGUGACGUGUGUCCCUUCACGGGGUCACUGUCUAACCAGCCUGCCGGGUGUCGCUCGGCCCAGGAGGGUUGCUUUCUUUGACUUGCCAUUUACUAUCGACCAGGCCCAGGUGCCACGAAGCUGGAGGUUACCUUGCGGAAAAUAGGAAAAGUGCAGGUGAUUUUCCCCCAUAAACAUGCAGGUGACUUCUGUCUGGCGGAGAAGAUAAGCAAGGUUGUGGCUUUAUUGUCCUGUUAAGACAUUAACCUGACAUCGAUGGUAGACGUUACCUCCUGAGCCCAGCUCAGCAGCCUCGUUCCGGAGCUCCUUCUCUGACUGCACGUGGAUCCGUCAGGGUUUGACAUUCUUCUUUGAACCAGCCUUGCCAUCUAGACUCGUUCACCUUGUUAACGGAUUGAUCGAUUCAUUGGCCGCACCACAUAGCAUGUGGGAUCUGAGUUUCCCUGCCGGGGAUCGAAACUGCGCCCCCUGCAGUGGAAGCGCGGAGUCUUAACCACUGGACCGCCAGCGGAUUCCCUCUUCAAAAAAUAUUAACAGAACACCUACUGUGUUCUGGGCACUGUUCCCGGCCCCGUGACCCCACACGAAACAGCCCGGCGCGUAAGAGGGGUUCCAAAAACAUUAGCUCCUUCCCCAAUUUUCAAAUCUGUGCACUGCUAAACAUCUCCUACAAAGCAAUAACCGCUUGUCAGGUACAGACAUGUCAGUUAAAAGCUGGCCGUCACCUCCAGGUCACUGGGCCUCUGGUGCUUCACUGGUCCCUCAGGGCCGCCAGACGGAGAGGUACGGGCAGCCCUGGUGGGGAUGGGCUGUUCCUUUUACUGCUAAGUGGUACGAUCUAGUCAAGUGGAAAAGUGCUACUUGCUGGGUAAUAAAAGCUUCCAUUGUUCACCAGCCCUGGAAACAUAUUAAUGAAUAACCCAGUGUGCGGCCCCUGGCCCCAGCGGUGUGAACGGUUGGUUGUUAAUACGGCAGGAACAGGUACAAUCUUCCUUUUGUAGUUUUAAGUGGGCCCAGAGCCCCAGGUCGACCAAGGCCCAGACAACGGGAUGGGCUCUCCCUGCAGACCCCUGUUGUCGGCCCACAAACGUUUGGUGGAGCUCUGUGCUGGCUCUGGACAGAGAAUCCAGCCUCAGGCACAGAGAUCCGGUGGA